This 642-nucleotide long non-coding RNA is filed under the name Equus caballus (horse). RNAcentral describes it as "lncRNA (ENSECAG00000059079.1)". The record is from RNAcentral. Lineage: Eukaryota; Metazoa; Chordata; Mammalia; Perissodactyla; Equidae.
UACUGAACAACAGACUCCGGAAUCCAUGCUGGAAGAGUGGGGCCUCCCCAGCAGCCUGCCAAAGCCAACCCUUAUAAUCAAGGGCAUCUGUCUACCAAGAUGGGCCUCAUUGGGAACAGCCCAUCCUGAGGCUAAGUGCCCACACCAGGAGGGCUGCCUACAACCAGCAUGGCCUAAAAACUUGGUCCAACUUUUGUCAGCUUCUGAGAAUUUUCUUUAAAAUGGAGGUUUUUAAUGGUCAGAAGGGGAAAGAGUCAACCAGUUUGGGCUCCUCACCAAGUCAGUGUUAAAGGGGAGAAACAACAAUUAAUAAGGACGGCUUUAGAUUAAAAGACACUUAAGAGACAAUAACAGCCAAAGGCCCAAACCCCUUACGCUCUGCACUGGGCCUCGACCCAGGCAGACAACAGGACUCAACAGCAGCACAUUUACCUGAUUCUGGUUGUGUGGCGGGAUGAUGGGGACGCUUGCUCUUGGAACCCAGCCACCAUGCUGUGAGGAAGCCCGGGUCACAUGAAGAGGCCAUGUGUUGGUGUUUUACCCGACAGUCCCAGCUGAGGUCCUAACCAAUAGCCGGCAUCACCCACCAGACACGUGAGUGCAGAAGUCUCUGAGAUGACCCUGGCCCCAGCACUAUCUGAC